GUUUCUAUAGUUGAUAACAACGAUGGUUUUUCAAAUCAUUAGUCCUGGUUAAAAUCCUGGUAGAAAUC
This 68-nucleotide transfer RNA is filed under the name Fundulopanchax amieti. RNAcentral describes it as "tRNA-Glu". It matches the Rfam family "tRNA". From Rfam's summary of the family: Transfer RNA (tRNA) molecules are approximately 80 nucleotides in length. Their secondary structure includes four short double-helical elements and three loops (D, anti-codon, and T loops). Further hydrogen bonds mediate the characteristic L-shaped molecular structure. tRNAs have two regions of fundamental functional importance: the anti-codon, which is responsible for specific mRNA codon recognition, and the 3' end, to which the tRNAs corresponding amino acid is attached (by aminoacyl-tRNA synthetases). tRNAs cope with the degeneracy of the genetic code in two manners: having more than one tRNA (with a specific anti-codon) for a particular amino acid; and 'wobble' base-pairing, i.e. permitting non-standard base-pairing at the 3rd anti-codon position. The record is from RNAcentral. Lineage: Eukaryota; Metazoa; Chordata; Actinopteri; Cyprinodontiformes; Nothobranchiidae.